CUCUAACACACUGCAAGUCGAACGGAAAGGCCCUUCGGGGUACUCGAGUGGCGAACGGGUGAGUAACACGUGGGUGAUCUGCCCUGCACUUUGGGAUAAGCCUGGGAAACUGGGUCUAAUACCGAAUAGGACUACGCGAUGCAUGUCGUGUGGUGGAAAGCUUUUGCGGUGUGGGAUGGGCCCGCGGCCUAUCAGCUUGUUGGUGAGGUUACGGCUCACCAAGGCGACGACGGGUAGCCGGCCUGAGAGGGUGACCGGCCACACUGGGACUGAGAUACGGCCCAGACUCCUACGGGAGGCAGCAGUGGGGAAUAUUGCACAAUGGGCGCAAGCCUGAUGCAGCGACGCCGCGUGAGGGAUGACGGCCUUCGGGUUGUAAACCUCUUUCGCCAGGGACGAAGCGCAAGUGACGGUACCUGGAGAAGAAGGACCGGCCAACUACGUGCCAGCAGCCGCGGUAAUACGUAGGGUCCGAGCGUUGUCCGGAAUUACUGGGCGUAAAGAGCUCGUAGGUGGUUUGUCGCGUUGUUCGUGAAAACUCACAGCUCAACUGUGGGCGUGCGGGCGAUACGGGCAGACUGGAGUACUGCAGGG
This 594-nucleotide ribosomal RNA is filed under the name Mycobacterium sp. E54. Its description in RNAcentral is "bacterial SSU rRNA". It matches the Rfam family "Bacterial small subunit ribosomal RNA", at positions 47 to 656 of the family's 1533-position model. The record is from RNAcentral. Lineage: Bacteria; Bacillati; Actinomycetota; Actinomycetes; Mycobacteriales; Mycobacteriaceae.